GAUGAACGCUGGCGGCGUGCCUAAUACAUGCAAGUCGAGCGAGCGGCGGACGGGUGGGUAAUGUCUGGGAAACUGCCUGAUGGAGGGGGGUAACUACUGGAAACGGUAGCUCAUACCGCAUACCAUCAGAUGUGCCCAGAUGGUAUUAGCUAGUAGGUGGGGUAAUGGCUCACCUAGGCGACGAUCCCUAGCUGGUCUGAGAGGAUGACCAGCCACACUGGGACUGAGACACGGUCCAAACUCCUACGGGAGGCAGCAGUGGGGAAUCUUCCACAAUGGGCGCAAGCCUGAUGGAGCCAUGCCGCGUGUGUGAAGAAGGCUUUCGGAUUGUAAAGCACUUUCGGCGAGGAGGCGUUACUCGAACAAAAAGCACCGGCUAACUCCGUGCCAGCAGCCGCGGUAAUAC
Molecule: ribosomal RNA, 406 nt
Filed under: uncultured bacterium
Lineage: Bacteria
Description: partial 16S ribosomal RNA
Rfam family: Bacterial small subunit ribosomal RNA
Source: RNAcentral